GAGCAAAAACUUGCUUUCUUUCUUCGUCAGCAACUUCAGCUGAAUUAGUUUUGUAGAUGCCUGCCAUCAUUAUUUAUCUAAGGAUGCAACCAAAAGAAUAUUAGUGUGUGCGAAUAUAUCAUCAUCAUCAUCAUCAUCAUCAUAUAACGUCCAUUGUCCAUGCUGGCAAGGGUUGGAUGGUGUGAACAGAGCUGGCAAGCUGGGAGUGGAGGAGGUAUCUGUACCAGACUCGAGCCUGAUUUGGCAUGGUUUCUAUGACUAGAUGCCUUUCCUAAUGCAGACCACUUUUACGUGGUGCUGCAUGGGUGCUUUUUCAUGGCACCAUUCAUCGCUUUUACAUGACGCUGCACACACACACACAAACAUAUAUAUAAAUACACACACACACACAUAUACACUCAGACACAUAUAUAGAUAGAUAAAUAGAUACAUAUUAUCAUCAUCUUUGUCUGCAUUUAACAUCUAUUUUUCCAUGCUGGCAUGGGUUAGAUAGUUUGACAAGAUCCAGCAAGCCUUAGGGCUGUGUCAAGCUCCAAUGUCAGCUUUUGAUAGGGUUUCCAUUGCUGGAUGCUCUUCCUAACAGCAACCCCUUUACAGAUUGUACUGGUUGCUUUUUUUUUUUCUUUCUUUGUGAGGUUGCCAAAUAUCUUGUGAAACAUGAAAGAAAUGGAAAAAUGAAAAAGGGAAGAAAGGAAAAUCUUUCUCAACUAAAUGGAGGAAGAGAGAUAAUGGUUGUAUAACAGGUGUUGGAAGAAUAAAGUGUGAUAGCAAGAUAAGCCCAUUAUUAUUUAUUGUCACAAUAAAUAAUUUAUUUUGUUAAAGUAUCAACAAACACAGACAUCUCAAGUGUGCUUCCAUGACAUCUGAACUCAAUUUUAGUUAGAUGACUUGUAAUCUUAUACCUACACCACUUCUCAACAUCCUAUCAUCAUCAUCAUCAUUUAGCAUCCAUUUUCCAUGUUGUCAUAGGUUAGACUGAAACUGGUAAGCCAGAGGGCUGUACCAGGCUUCAGUCUGUUUUGGAUUGGUUUCUACAGCUGGAUGCCCUUUAAUAAUGCCAACCACUCCACAAAGUUUAAUGUGUUGCCAGCACAAGGGUACCCUUAACGUGUCACCUGCACUGGCCUUAACUAUAAUUUCACUAAGCUUGACAAAAACGCUGGGUUAACAACUCAACAUAUCACACCCCCUCAAUGAACAUAUAUAAGAUAUACAACAUAAUCCGUCAAACACAAGGAAUAAGAAGAUAUAACAACUGUUUGUGCAGGUGCAAAGUGGCUUCUGUGACAUAUUCUUCCUAGACCUGUGAAAUGGCAUCAUCAUCUUGAGGUAGUUCAUCACACAAGUUAAGAAAAGAUUUUCAUGCAACUUUUGUUGGCUCCAUUUCCAAUCAAAUCAUGGGAGCGAAUCUACCCUUGAAUUGACAAGUUUUAAGUGUUUUUUUCUACAAUGUAAGAGUUGUAAAUCUUAUAACAAAAGAAAGUGCAGCAUUAGUGAUUCAAGAAAUUUCCAUGUUUUGGCAAAAAGCAUGAAUUCCUACCAGAAGAACUGACCACUGUGUUGAUAAGGUCCUCAAAGUCUAUGAUGAAUGGAAAGGUUUACAGAAAAAUUUGAUAAGAAUUGCAGGCAAGGAAAAAGAAAAAAGAAAAAUGCUUGUGGAAAUGAUGGACGAUCUCUUUGACAUAGCUCAUUCAGAUGCUUUGGGACAGAUGAAAAUUGAAGAGGAUAAGAAGUUCUUAAUUCUUCAGUACCAAAAAGGAUGACCAGUCUCCAUGGUUGGUGUAGAUCAAAAACUAAAACACAAGGAAGAAAGAGCACUGCAGCUAACUUCAAUGGAAACUGUCAGGAAAAAAAAAGGUCUUAUGAAGAAAUGGGACAAAAUUUUACUAUUCAUCAGUUUGCUACAUCAGAAACUGAUAAUUCAAUGCGAAGCAGCUAAAGCAGUUAUGGUGGUGAUGACAGUGAAAAUUCCUGUCAUCAUUUAGCAAAUAUCAGCAACAGCAACAACCACAGCAGCAACAACAGUUCCAGCAACUCAAGGAAUCCAGAUCUGCUUAACUCUUUUCAUUCCGUUGCAACAGCAAUUUCAGUGAAAAAUAGAUAAAAAUUGAAGAGGCAGCAACCAAUAGCGGUACCAUAUAUUUUGGCAUGACAUAUUCGUUAUAAUUCAGACAAAUACUGACGAAGACAGAGAGUUUUCACACUGGCGAGGAGAAGCAGGCAGUUCAUAUGAAAGCUUCACAAAAGACAAACUGAGUAAAUCAGAUGAAAUGACAGCUUCCCUCAUAUACAUAAAUAAAUAUAAUAUAAUAUAAUAUAAUAUAUAUAUAUAUAUGGAAUGAUUGUAAAUAAAAUGAAAAUAAACAGAAACUGUAAUGAUAAAUAAAUA
This is a long non-coding RNA of Octopus bimaculoides (California two-spot octopus), 2389 nucleotides long. RefSeq lists it as uncharacterized. NCBI's taxonomy places the organism in Eukaryota, Metazoa, Mollusca, Cephalopoda, Octopoda, Octopodidae. The record is from RefSeq and is a predicted model, not a curated record.